GAAAGGCUGCCAUUAAUACAGCACCUUUCAUGAGCAUAUUGAGGUGCUUCACAGGGACAAGAGCAAACCAGGUUUGACACAAAGGAGACACAAGAGACUGCAGAUGCUGGAAUCUGGAGCAACAAACUAUCUGCUGGAGGAACUCAGCGGGUCGAGCAGCAUCCGUGGGAGGAAAGGAAUUGUCGACAUUUCGGGUUGAACCCUGUAUCAGGACUGAGAAUGGAGAGCUCGUUGAAGAAUGUGUAUUCUACGCAGAAGCUGGAGUUUGUUAAUGGAGUUGUCACUCACCAGGGAAUACAGGAAGAGGUUCAAGUACUUGCUUAUACACUGGGGGCAGUUUACAGUGGCUAGCUGAACUACCAACCAGCACGUCUUUGGAAUGUGGGAGGAAACCAAAGCACCCAGGGGAAACAGGAAGAACACUCAAACUCCACACAGACAACAGCAGAGAUCAGGAUCGAAGCUAGAUCGCUGGAGUUGUAAAGCGGCAGCACUACCUGCUGAACACUUUGCAGCCCCUAUCUGCCACUGUCGUUCUGCAUCUUUCAAACUUUUACUUUAAACAUGCAUUGAAUAAAA
Pristis pectinata (smalltooth sawfish) is the source of this 579-nucleotide long non-coding RNA. RefSeq lists it as uncharacterized. Lineage: Eukaryota; Metazoa; Chordata; Chondrichthyes; Rhinopristiformes; Pristidae. The record is from RefSeq and is a predicted model, not a curated record. The transcript is spliced from 4 exons.